This 435-nucleotide long non-coding RNA is filed under the name Rattus norvegicus (Norway rat). Its description in RNAcentral is "long non-coding RNA NONRATT008042". Lineage: Eukaryota; Metazoa; Chordata; Mammalia; Rodentia; Muridae. The record is from RNAcentral.
AAUAGACUUCCCCUCCCUGGGCUAUUGAGUGAUCUGUCAUGAAGAUGAGGGGGAAAGUAACCCAGAAGCCUGGGACAGAGGAGAGAUCAGUCUCAAAGGGCUUCGCACACAAGAUGGAGUCCUAUCUCUGAUAUCCGUGUUUAAAAGAAAAGAGAGAAAAAAAGCUGGGCGUGGGUGCCACCAGGAUUCCACCAGGAGAGGAAGUCAGAAACCGGUCUGAGGUCCACCUUUCCCCUUGGAGCAUCUGCACGCCAGGCAGGAAGGGGAAGGCAGAGCCUAGGAUGAGAGGGAUCCUGCCUGAUUUGGAGCAAGUUCCUUACCAUACCUGAAGGACUAGAGAAGAGAAAAGCCCUCCUUCAGGAGUCUUAGAUGUGGCUCUUUUAGGCAAAGGGUCUCCCCCAUGGAAAUUUUUUAAUGAAGCAGCUCUCUGAGACG